GACUCGAUAGCUCAGGUAGAGCGGCGGUCUAGAUACCCGCGGAUGCGAAGUUCAAAUCCCGCUCGAGCCA
Non-coding RNA from Paramuricea clavata, 70 nucleotides. Lineage: Eukaryota; Metazoa; Cnidaria; Anthozoa; Malacalcyonacea; Plexauridae. The record is from the annotation of a GenBank genome assembly.